CUUGAAUAUUAUUAUAGAUAGAGAUAAACUGUAAACAGCAAUAAUGUUCAGUAAAGUAAGAUCUACAAAUAAGUCAACAUGACCAAAAUGGUCAGUUGACCCGUUUAGGAGUUAUUGCCCUUUAUAGUCAAUUUUUAACCAUUUUUCGUAAAUUAAAGUAAUCUUUACAAAAAUCUUCUCCUCUGAAACUACUGGGCCAAAUUAAUCCAAACUUGGCCACAAUCAUCUUUGGGGUAUCUAGUUUAAAAAAUGUGUGGCGUGACCUGGUCAACCAACCAAGAUGGCCGCCACCGCUAAAAAUAGAACAUAGGGGUAAAAUGCAGUUUUUGGCUUAUAACUCAAAAACCAAAGCAUUUUGAGGAAAUCUGACAGGGAUAAAAAUGUUUAUCAGGUCAAGAUCUAUCUGCCCUGAAAUUUUCAGAUGAAUCGGUCAAUCGGUUGUUGGGUUGCUGCCCCUGAAUUGGUAAUUUUGACGAAAUUUUGCUGUGUUUGGUUAUUAUCUUGAAUAUUAUUAUAGAUAGAGAUAAAUUGUAAACAGCAAUAAUGUUCAGCAAAG
This 556-nucleotide long non-coding RNA is filed under the name Mytilus galloprovincialis (Mediterranean mussel). Lineage: Eukaryota; Metazoa; Mollusca; Bivalvia; Mytilida; Mytilidae. The record is from RNAcentral.